GGGGGAUUCCUCACCACUGAUCACUUAAAGAUGGGAGUUGAGGAAUAAUUGUCUCAAUGUGUGUGUAUAUGCAUGUUUGGGUGGUGGGUCAUUAUUUUAUUCAAAUGUAGUGCAGGAAUGCUUUGCUGCGAGAAAAUGUUUGCGUUAACUCAACAUCAGUCCCUAUGGCAAGUCUGUAACAGUGAUGUCUUGCACAUAAGCGAUUUUGAAUUAGCUGAUUUGCUUAAACUCCUCAGUCACUUUACCAAACAUAUGUCUGUAGAAGUGCUCGCAACGGAAGUGGCUCCAUCACACAGGAUUUGACGCAUUAAAUAGAAACUAUUUAACAGUAUUUAACACAACCCCACGUUUGUUGCUUCAGUGGUGUGUAAAUGCUCAUUCAUCGUUACGCCUUGACUAUUUGAUGGGACGUUUGAGAGAAGGGCAUUUCCCAUCGUAAGAAUGCUAGGGAUGUUGAGUGUUAGGUCAUACAGCCAUCCCACUAGCAUGCCAGUGUCCGGCUCGGUAUAGGGCUGUAGGAAGACACUUGAUUCCCAUAUACUCCGUUAUAACUAAGUUGAGUGGGCUUCUUUUGAUGUCGUCUUCUACUUCAAAAUGAGUAAGGUGGGAGCAACUGGUUUUUUCCCCCUUACAUGUACUUAGUGAUCUGAUUCUUGACCUUUUGUUUUAAACACCAUAUCAUGGGGGUUAUUCAUUAGACUUAGUAGUACUUUUACCACCAUUUUAUAUUUUUUCAAUUCAGAAACAUUUAGGUAUUCUACUGUAUUUUUCCAAUAGAGGACAAUAGGUGAUUUACCGGGGAAGAAAUGUACUCUUUGUGUUAACAUCUUGAGUAUAAAGCAUGUAUACAUCAAUCUAAUCAGGAAUUCUUAACUGUUUUUACAUUCUACAUAUGGCUGUUGCGUUUCGUGAACAACCCCCAUUUUGUUUUAAGGAAGUGGGAUUUCAUUUUGUGAAGUUGCCAUUUUCAUCAUCUACUGUGUGUUUCCUCCCAAUGUGCUACCUUCCUUCCCAUUCAUACAGACUUUCUAUUUGGUCGUCGCAUCACAGAGGGACCCCCGAUGUUAGUAAGGAAAACAAAACCGCAAACUUUUUCACAUCGAAGUGAAUCUCACCACAGCCUCUCACUGUGUGUGGACAACUGUCCCCCCCAACCUAUCACCUCUGCUUCAAAGACUGUAUACAAUCUGGAUAUUUUGACGAUCACUUGUUUUAUUUUUUCUUGUUUGUAUUUUUUAUUUUAUUUUUGGUUUGUAAAUCUAUUUAAAACCAAAAUAAAGAUCUUUCUUAGAGGUUUGAGCUGUUUCUUAUAGCAGGAGUGAAUGGAUAUAUUCUAAUAGAUAUUAUAAUAGACUGUUUAUGGGGUAAUAUAUUUUCAUUGAAUACGAUUCUUAGCUCGCAAUUAUUCAUUAAAUACAUUUGUUUUGUGUUCUCUUUAUAGAUACUGUGGGGAUGUAUUACCUGAGGUAAGACUGUUCUCCCUCGACUCACUUGUUCUUAUCCAGGGUGUUGAAUGUAAAUUAAGAGAAGUGAAAAUAAGUCGCUGUUAAAGUAACAAGGAAAGUUGAUGAUGAGAGCUGUACUCUACAGUCACCCUGACACCCAGUUGGGAUGGUGGAGACCUAAAGGAUUUCCUGAUGCUUUCCUUGACUUAAAGGGGCACAUACUGAGUAGUACUGUUAUAGCAUCUUUAUUUGUUCCUUUCUCCAUUUGUGUUCCUUUCUAGACCAUGGGAAUCUAUGACUCGGGGAUAACUCUGAGACACUUGGACGUAUCACUCAGGGAUAACUGAGGCUACCUCACCUGUUGGGCAUUGAGGAAGAAGACCUCAUCCUUGUCUGAUUGGAGAGAACAUGGGCCAACUGGUCCAUUUUAUAUCUUCAGAGCACACUCAGAAAGAGAGAGGGAGUCACAUGACUCACAAAAACACUUCUAGCUUUUUGAGGACUUGGAGACAGAUUGAAAUUUACUGGUGGGUUCAUUAAAAGAAAUGCACUCCCAACUUUUUAUUUUUUUAUUUUUUUACAUGACCCUCCCCUUGUACUGUAAAAUAAAUGCAACACCCUCCCCCCUCAGAGUUAACUAAAAAUGUUUAUGACCACAAAUAACUGUAGCGACCCUGUGUUUAUAAACAGGGAUAUCUAAUUCGCUACAGUAGCACAUUCGAUGCCAUGCAGGGCUACGGGCCUGAAGGUUGAGGGUUCGCCGACCACCACAGGGGAGCUCACUGUCGUCCACCAAACCUGCAUGUUUCAUUACUUCACUAUCAGUGCUGGUUGCCGACACUGAUCAGCAAGGGGGAAAUCAGAUUUUCAACAUUUUGAUGCCAUAUUUAUAAUUCUAUAAGCCUCUGGGACCAAUUCGUAAGCCCGAAGGAUAGCAGCUUUGUGUCCUAAUUUGAACUCUGGUCGAGAGAGAAAGCGGCGUACACUUUGAGCUUUUCCCACAAAAACACUUUGGAGGAGCAGUGACCAAAUAUACUACAUGGCCUUAAGUUUAAGCCUGGCUCGCUGUCGGCGUUCCAAUUCAUCCCAAAGGUGUUCGAUGGGGUUGAGCUCAGGGCUCUGUGCAGGCCAAGUUGUUCCACACUGAUCUCGACAAACCAUUUCUGUAUGGACCUCACUUUGUGCACGGG
Molecule: long non-coding RNA, 2635 nt
Organism: Oncorhynchus tshawytscha (Chinook salmon)
Lineage: Eukaryota; Metazoa; Chordata; Actinopteri; Salmoniformes; Salmonidae
Exons: 3
Source: RefSeq, a predicted model, not a curated record